GGAAGAUUCACUUUGACUUCAGUUCUGGGAUAACUCAGACAAACUUCACUCUGACAGGAGAAAAAAAAAAAAUCAGAGAAAACUGCUUCAUCUUAAACAGCCUGGAGCAGAGGAUUCCCAAGGCAAACAGUCCCAAAAGGGGGCCACCGAUCAUGCCAAAAAUGCUGAGCGCUGCCUGAGGAAGGAAGAGAGUCUGCUAUCAGGUGCUGUGCAAGAAAGUUAAAGCCUCCAACAUGAGAGGGAUUUGAAGUACGGUCUAAUGAGGUCUUCAACAGUCACGGCAGCCAGAGCAUUGAUGCUGGAGGACACAGUACUACAGAAGGCAAGAUUUAUACAAUUUUUUUAUCUUAGAAGCUGGAAUCGUAGAUAACAGAUGGGUUACUGGCAGAGAGAAACUGCCACUGUCUAGAACAGUGUCAGAAAACUAAUUUAACUGCUGUAUUGGUUGAAAUAACUUAGUAAUCCAGGUGACGCAGUUAACAGCUUACAAAAGUUUUUUUAAAAUAAUUGCUCUUAGUGAAGACAAGGCAAAUCCUGAUGCAAAGACAGGCCUGGAGAAGUCAAUGAAAAUAUCUAUUACAUGUGGCUAAGCUGUAAACACUACUGGUAUAUGUGAUACCUUCACAAAUGAUCUACACAGUAUAUAUCUGGGUAGGUAAAAUUCCUACAUGCUGGUCACUGAUUACUUUGAAUGCACUCUCAGAGGAGGAUUCAGAUAAUCUAAUUAUAGUCAUCUAAAAAUUAGGCAUCUAGUCCAAACCGAACUAUUCCAGGCUCCCUAUGGGGUCAGAAAAACCAGCACUCCUAAGGCACAAAGCCAGUCAGGUGAUCUCGUGUCUGUAUGUACCUUGCUCUCACAAGCCACCACCUUUUCCUCAGUGUGAAAAACAAAUAUCCUGGCUGUUGCCUCUAUUUGUGUAGCUACAAGUACUCAGAACAAAAAAAUUAUUCUGGUGUCACAUUCUUAAGUUUCCUCAUUUUUAUCUGCUUACUACUGUUCAGAGCCUUCCUCGAGAGAGGUGAUGUUUCUGAAAAAGAUGCUCCUUGGGAAAGCUGAACAAAACACUCCCCACUAUGGGAUAGAAGGGGAUUGAUUUGUCUCCUUCAGUAAAAAUACAGAGUGAUUGCUGUUUUCAUGGGGUUCAUUUGAGACAAUUGGAAGUCCAGGAACUCUUUUGUAAACAAGACUCUAAAGAUCAGGGAUGAGGAAAGGGAGAUGGCUUUAAAGUUAUGCAGGUUUGAAACUGGAAAAUUAAAGAUGAGCAGUAGGAAAUUCUCCCAAACUGUAGCUCUUUUAUGUAAACACCCAUUUAUAAUACUUAAAAAUUCCUAUAGCAGAGGGGCUUUAAAAGCACAGAGAGGAGCAUUUGUUAGAGCCGUACGUUGCGUGUGACUAGCUGUUUCCUCAUGUUGCUAGUAGGGAACUCCAAAGAGCUUUGAGUCCUAGGACCUCAGAGAGCUACUGUUAGAAACUAUGGAUUUUUAAGCUGCAUCAGCAAAGAUCUUAUAGUGCUUUUUUUUAAAUUAGCUAGACAAAGAAAUGAAAUGCAAAAGUGUUAUUAUAAAAGCAACUUUAGCUGUAACGAAAAAGACACUAGGUUCCAGAUUAUUAAAUUACCUUAAUGUCCCACUGUAGGCACUAGCCACAAAAAGCCCUGGCACUCCUGGAAAAUCGUGGAGAAUGUCCAGCACUAGGUAUGGCAUUAGCUGAAAAAUCC
Molecule: long non-coding RNA, 1718 nt
Organism: Harpia harpyja (harpy eagle)
Lineage: Eukaryota; Metazoa; Chordata; Aves; Accipitriformes; Accipitridae
Exons: 3
Source: RefSeq, a predicted model, not a curated record